Molecule: long non-coding RNA, 316 nt
Filed under: Coturnix japonica (Japanese quail)
Lineage: Eukaryota; Metazoa; Chordata; Aves; Galliformes; Phasianidae
Description: lncRNA (ENSCJPG00005018665.1)
Source: RNAcentral
CUUAGGGCUGCUUGCAGCUGGACAGUGAGGGAGUGAUUGGGCUGUGGCACAGUAUUUGUGCCCUGUUUGAGGGUUGUGGAAGUUUGGUCUUUGUUUUUGCCUCCAGCAUGGCGGGAUCUGGGGCUGUUUCUUGAUGCUAGUCUCAUCUCCAUCCUCCAAGUGGGUCUGUGCUGGCUUUUCUCUGCAUCUGUCUGUGUUGCACUGGUGGUGCCAGUUUCCAGUUCUACAGUAUGUUGUCAGCAGGAUCAGAGCUGGACCUGCAGGGUAUGUAUAAAAGAUUAUAUUCCACUGCUUGCAUAUGAAGAUAUUGCAUUCC